AGGUGCUGCAUGGCUGUCGUCAGCUCGUGUCGUGAGAUGUUGGGUUAAGUCCCGCAACGAGCGCAACCCUCGCCAUUAGUUGCCAGCAUUAAGUUGGGCACUCUAGUGGGACUGCCGGAGCUAAUCCGGAGGAAGGCGGGGAUGACGUCAAGUCCUCAUGGCCCUUAUGGGUUGGGCUACACACGUGCUACAAUGGCGGUGACA
Molecule: ribosomal RNA, 204 nt
Filed under: Climacostomum virens
Lineage: Eukaryota; Ciliophora; Heterotrichea; Heterotrichida; Climacostomidae
Description: partial Bacterial small subunit ribosomal RNA
Rfam family: Bacterial small subunit ribosomal RNA
Source: RNAcentral